Corylus avellana is the source of this 558-nucleotide non-coding RNA. Lineage: Eukaryota; Viridiplantae; Streptophyta; Magnoliopsida; Fagales; Betulaceae. The record is from RefSeq and is a predicted model, not a curated record.
CGUCUUUAUAAGUCUGACCGAAGAUAGAAGGGGAGGGGAGAAGAGGCUUGCAGCUUUCGGCGCUCUUUCGUACUCUUUCCCUCCUUCCAGAUUUAGCUGCCCUUUUUCUUUCUCUAACUAUAUAUAAAUAUAAAUAAAUAAAUAAAUAACUCUUACUAAUAUCCAUUUCUACGACAUUUUUUAAUCUAUUUAUAUAAAACUGUAUAUGGUUUCUGAACAACACCAGAGGGAACUGCUUUUCUCAGCUUCAUUCUCACUGAAUCCACCAAAUCUACCGCCAUUUCUUCAACUCCACAGCUCAGAAAAACAGCCUCUUGGACCUUGGUUAUCAGUUUUGUGAUAUAGGUCAGCUCGAACUGAUAAUGAGUGACAACACUACAUUAAGGAGUUGAGACUUCUGGCAAAACUUUACUCUACAUCUUCUAUGCUGUCUAUUGUGAUUGAAAAUAUGGGCUCAUUCUGCAGCAGAAACCGUCACUACAAUGGAGCUGAUACUGAAGAGAAUGCACAGGAUGCAGAAAUCGAAAGGCGAAUUGAGCAAGAAACAAAAGCUGAAAA